UACGUAGGUGGCAAGCGUUGUCCGGAUUUACUGGGCGUAGAGGGAGCGUAGGCGGAUACUUAAGUGGGAUGUGAAAUACCUGGGCUUAACUUGGGUGCUGCAUUCCAAACUGGGUGUCUAGAGUGUUGGAGAGGAAAGUGGAAUUCCUAGUGUAGCGGUGAAAUGCGUAGAGAUUAGGAAGAACACCAGUGGCGAAGGCGACUUUCUGGACAAUAACUGACGCUGAGGCUCGAAAGCGUGGGGAGCAAACAGGAUUAGAUACCCUGGUAGUCCACGCCGUAAACGAUGGGUACUAGGUGUAGGAGGUAUCGACUCCUCCUGUGCCGCCGUUAACACAAACAAUAAGUACCCCGCCUGGGGAGUACGGUCGCAAGAUUAAA
RNAcentral lists this ribosomal RNA (380 nucleotides) under uncultured bacterium. RNAcentral's name for it is "bacterial SSU rRNA". It matches the Rfam family "Bacterial small subunit ribosomal RNA", at positions 524 to 898 of the family's 1533-position model. The record is from RNAcentral.